AAAAAAAAAAACCAAAACCGAAAAACCAAAACCAGCCGUCGAAAAGAAACUUCUGCUUUUCGGGGAAAUUCUCGAAAUUCAAUGAAACCUCUGCCCGACGCCGAAACUGGAUGUAUGAGCAGAGGCUACGUUUUCACGGAUACCUUGUCGCGGAAUCCUACACCGGGCGCGCACAGACCCCGCUGUUAUUUAACAACAUUUCCCCUUUGCUUGGAGGGGAAAACCCUCCAAAAGGGAAAGAGUUUCGUUCCCAGUGUUUUCAACUGAGAGGAGACGGAAAACGAGAGGUGAGAACAAGCCCGUCCACCCCAAAACAAACUCUUUUCCUCCCAUCCACCCCAAAACAAAAACACUUCUGGCAUCUCCCUUUCUCGGGUGGGUGCCCCGUGCCUGGGUGGCCUCGGGAUCAAGCCCGAGCCCCCAAGGGAGGGGAUCCAACACCUUUUUUUGGGGCAAUUCCGCAUCUUCCAGGCGUGGGGGCGGCACCGCUCCCUUCCCAUCCCUGCCCCUCCCGGGAUCCCAAGGAAUUCCCAGGGCCGCUCCAGCCGCUCUUUCCAGGCACAGGCAGCACGACGGGGGUUGCCAUCAUCCCCUGAAAAUGUCCCUAAAAGCGCCACUUUUGCCCCCAAAAACCUGGCAGCGCGAUUUUGGUGUUGGCGGAGUUUUCCUGCUUUAUUUUUCUUUUUUCCCUCGGUGGAGGUUGGGGUAGGAAAUUGGGGCAGCGGAGCCGAGCACAGAGCGGGGCUUAACUUUUAUUCUGAUGUGCUUAGCUGAAGCAUGAACUGCGAGAAAUCCCACCGAGCUCCUCAGGAAAGAAAACACCGUCAGGCAUUCGAACAUUUCCAGGCUGCGCCAUCCGCACUCACCGCUCCCAGCGCCGAUGGUCCCCGGAGGAAUCGCCCGGAUUUUAUUUUUAUUUUGUUUUUGCCCCGUAACCAGCGCUCCCAAGCGUGGCUGUGCACACACACACACACACGCAAAUCCUAUAAAUGCUAAUAAAACAGAUUCCUCGGGAUUUGUUCGACCAUCCCGUGUUGAUGUUCACCGGUGGUACCCGAGGAUUGCCGGGGAUGUGGAAGAUUUUGGGAUCGACCUUCUGGGGUGUGCCGCGUCCCUUCAGGCAAGGUGGGAGCCGUAAACAUCGGGAAUAGGAUGGAUUCGAGCUGAACACUUGAAAGGGGGAAAAAAGGAAGUGGAAUCUCGGCGCUGGAAUGAUGAAACUCUGCAGAACGGAGGCCUCCGGCUGCAGGGGAUCGUUUUCAGCUCCUUUCUGGAAGCUGUAUCGCUGCUAUUGUCCGACCUUUGCCGGCCACAUGGGACGCGUUUGGCAAUAGGACAGAAAAUUAUUUCUACUGGGCAUGAACUGGAAAUAUCCAGCUGGGGCAUGGAUCCCAUUUCUAAUCAGGGUGGAGGGAAGGAAAUCUCCAGGCUCUUUCUUGUUGUUGCUCAGACAGCAUUUGGGGGGAAGUUGUCAAAAGCUCCUAUCCAGAAAAAAUACGGCUGUUUAAAAAUGAAAUAAGGAUUGUGUUUUUUUUUUUUUUUAACCCUCCAAACGUGUAAAUGUGGGGUUUUAUUUUGCUGUCCUUGCUGCGGAAGGGGGAGAAUGCUGUGACAGCACAGGCGUGCAGCUCUGCUGGAGCUGUCAGGCUUGAUGGACUGAUCCAAAUGGAUGAUAUUUGCAAAAAAUAUGCCCAAGUUAAAAACUCUCAGCGCUCAUGUUCGGGUCAGGUUUUCAAUUUCAGUUUUCUAAGGAGAAUAAAGUUGUUUUGUUAAGGUCAA
Long non-coding RNA from Melospiza melodia melodia, 1779 nucleotides. RefSeq lists it as uncharacterized. The transcript has 3 exons. Lineage: Eukaryota; Metazoa; Chordata; Aves; Passeriformes; Passerellidae. The record is from RefSeq and is a predicted model, not a curated record.